Lathyrus oleraceus (garden pea) is the source of this 481-nucleotide long non-coding RNA. RefSeq lists it as uncharacterized. The transcript has 3 exons. The record is from RefSeq and is a predicted model, not a curated record. Lineage: Eukaryota; Viridiplantae; Streptophyta; Magnoliopsida; Fabales; Fabaceae.
CCAAAAACAAAAAAUCCUACCAACAAAGAGGUGAUGGAGACCUUGGCGGAGUUAAGGGCACAAGUACUCGAACUGCAAAAGGAGAAUGCAAGGUAUAGAGAGGAAAGGUGCGGUUCCGAGGCAAAAGAUACUAGUGACCGAGCUAGUAUCAAUUGUCAACCGAAAUUUCCCUAGGGCAUUACACCUUGUCAGCUGUAUCUAUCGUCACCAACUUAUCGCAUAGUUGGCAAGGGAAAAGUGCACAACACUUCGGGUGAAUUACUUCACCAUAAUCCCCUCCCGGUGGGAUAUAUGAAAGUUUCGGUUGACCUUGUAUUAGAUACGGACGCGCUUCUACCAUUACCUGACGUUGUUUCAGAGACAACAUUGAUGCGAGAUGCAGUCGGAUCCUUUGUUGGAUGGCCGUCAGAUCUAAUUUUCCCAGAUGCCGAGACUCCUACAAGACCCACACAUAAAGCUGGUAAAGGGAUUUCAAGACGCA